GAUGAACGCUGGCGGCGUGCCUAAUACAUGCAAGUCGAGCGAACAGAUGAGGAGCUUGCUCCUCUGACGUUAGCGGCGGACGGGUGAGUAACACGUGGAUAACCUACCUAUAAGACUGGGAUAAAUUCGGGAAACCGGAGCUAAUACCGGAUAAUAUAUUGAACCGCAUGGUUCAAUAGUGAAAGACGGUUUUGCUGUCACUUAUAGAUGGAUCCGCGCCGCAUUAGCUAGUUGGUAAGGUAACGGCUUACCAAGGCAACGAUGCGUAGCCGACCUGAGAGGGUGAUCGGCCACACUGGAACUGAGACACGGUCCAGACUCCUACGGGAGGCAGCAGUAGGGAAUCUUCCGCAAUGGGCGAAAGCCUGACGGAGCAACGCCGCGUGAGUGAUGAAGGUCUUCGGAUCUUAAAACUCUGUUAUUAGGGAAGAACAAAUGUGUAAGUAACUAUGCACGUCUUGACGGUACCUAAUCAGAAAGCCACGGCUAACUACGUG
Molecule: ribosomal RNA, 497 nt
Filed under: uncultured bacterium
Lineage: Bacteria
Description: partial 16S ribosomal RNA
Rfam family: Bacterial small subunit ribosomal RNA
Source: RNAcentral